GACGAACGCUGGCGGCGUGCUUAACACAUGCAAGUCGAGCGGUAAGGCCCUUUCGGGGGUACACGAGCGGCGAACGGGUGAGUAACACGUGGGUGACCUGCCCUCAGCUCUGGGAUAAGCCUGGGAAACCGGGUCUAAUACCGGAUAUGACUCCAUGACGCAUGUUGUGGGGUGGAAAGCCUUGUGCGGCUGAGGAUGGGCCCGCGGCCUAUCAGCUUGUUGGUGGGGUGAUGGCCUACCAAGGCGACGACGGGUAGCCGGCCUGAGAGGGCGACCGGCCACACCGGGACUGAGACACGGCCCAGACUCCUACGGGAGGCAGCAGUGGGGAAUCUUGCGCAAUGGGCGAAAGCCUGACGCAGCGACGCCGCGUGAGGGAUGACGGCCUCGGUU
Molecule: ribosomal RNA, 393 nt
Filed under: uncultured bacterium
Lineage: Bacteria
Description: bacterial SSU rRNA
Rfam family: Bacterial small subunit ribosomal RNA
Source: RNAcentral